RNAcentral lists this ribosomal RNA (253 nucleotides) under uncultured bacterium. RNAcentral describes it as "partial 16S ribosomal RNA". It matches the Rfam family "Bacterial small subunit ribosomal RNA", at positions 524 to 776 of the family's 1533-position model. The record is from RNAcentral.
UACGUAGGGUGCGAGCGUUAAUCGGAAUUACUGGGCGUAAAGCGUGCGCAGGCGGUUGUGGGAGACAGGUGUGAAAACCCCGGGCUUAACCUGGGAACUGCGCUUGUGACUGCACGACUCGAGUGUGGCAGAGGGGGGUGGAAUUCCACGUGUAGCAGUGAAAUGCGUAGAGAUGUGGAGGAACACCGAUGGCGAAGGCAGCCCCCUGGGUUAACACUGGCGCUCAUGCACGAAAGCGUGGGUAGCAAACAGG